GACGAACGCUGGCGGCGUGCCUAAUACAUGCAAGUCGAGCGCAGGAAGCUGACGGAACUCUUCGGAGGGAAGGCAGUGGAAUGAGCGGCGGACGGGUGAGUAACACGUAAGGAACCUGCCUCAAGGAUUGGGAUAACUCCGAGAAAUCGGAGCUAAUACCGGAUAGUUCAACGGACCGCAUGGUCCGCUGAUGAACGGCGCUACGGCGUCACCUUGAGAUGGCCUUGCGGUGCAUUAGCUAGUUGGUGGGGUAACGGCCCACCAAGGCGACGAUGCAUAGCCGACCUGAGAGGGUGAUCGGCCACACUGGGACUGAGACACGGCCCAGACUCCUACGGGAGGCAGCAGUAGGGAAUCUUCCACAAUGGACGAAAGUCUGGUGGAGCGACGCCGCGUGAGUGAUGAAGGUUUUCGGAUCGUAAAACUCUGUUGUAAGGGAAGAACACGUACGAGAGGGAAUGCUCGUACCUUGACGGUACCUUACGAGAAAGCCACGGCUAACUACGUGCCAGCAGCCGCAGUAA
Molecule: ribosomal RNA, 524 nt
Filed under: uncultured bacterium
Lineage: Bacteria
Description: partial 16S ribosomal RNA
Rfam family: Bacterial small subunit ribosomal RNA
Source: RNAcentral